This is a long non-coding RNA of Trifolium pratense (red clover), 574 nucleotides long. RefSeq lists it as uncharacterized. Lineage: Eukaryota; Viridiplantae; Streptophyta; Magnoliopsida; Fabales; Fabaceae. The record is from RefSeq and is a predicted model, not a curated record. The transcript has 3 exons.
AUAAUUUCUCGAGCUUUCUUCUUAAUACUCUCCACUAGUUAUAUUCUCUUGCUUUUUCCCCUCAAAGCAUGUGUUUGUGUAUAUAUAGCAACAUAUAUCAGACCAUGCAUUCCAACACAAAAUUACAAGUUCUAUUUUACAAGAAAUAUAUUUGAAUUAAAAGUGUUGUUCUUGAAGAAAUGAGUGAGAUCAAAUAUGGCUAUCCAUAUCCUGCUCAAGGCCCUUAUCAAGGACCGCCUCCGGUGGCGGCACCACCACAAUACUAUGCGGCUCCACCACCACCAAAAAGAGAACCGGGUUUUCUUGAAGGAUGCCUAGCUGCUUUGUGUUGUUGUUGCCUCUUGGACGAGUGCUGCUGUGACCCAACUAUUAUUUUUGCGAGCUAAUAAUACAUUUCACUAAACUGGGAAAUUAAGACGCUAUUGUACUUGUAACGAUAUUUAUUUAUUUAUUUUUUUACUUUUUAAAUUACAUUGUUUGUGUGGAUAUGUCCUAUCAUGAAUUGUAUGAGUAAAUAACCAAUAUUUGCUAUUAUAUAUGAAUAUGAUAUAAUAUUGUACAUUUGUUAAUAAAA